Molecule: transfer RNA, 76 nt
Filed under: Aminobacterium thunnarium
Lineage: Bacteria; Thermotogati; Synergistota; Synergistia; Synergistales; Aminobacteriaceae
Also listed under: 2 other names
Description: tRNA-Lys
Rfam family: tRNA
About the family: Transfer RNA (tRNA) molecules are approximately 80 nucleotides in length. Their secondary structure includes four short double-helical elements and three loops (D, anti-codon, and T loops).
Source: RNAcentral
GGACCGUUAGCUCAAUUGGCAGAGCACCUGACUCUUAAUCAGGGGGUUACAGGUUCGAUUCCUGUACGGUCCACCA